RNAcentral lists this ribosomal RNA (412 nucleotides) under uncultured bacterium. Its description in RNAcentral is "bacterial SSU rRNA". It matches the Rfam family "Bacterial small subunit ribosomal RNA", at positions 28 to 428 of the family's 1533-position model. The record is from RNAcentral.
GACGAACGCUGGCGGCGUGCCUAACACAUGCAAGUCGCACGAGUCCACUCCUUCGGGAGUGAGGCGAGUGGCGGACGGGUGAGUAACACGUGAGCAAUCUGUCCCGCUGCGGGGGAUAACCCGGGGAAACUCGGGCUAAUACCGCAUGGUCGGCUUCCAGGAUCUGGGAGCCGGGAAAGGUGGCCUCUUUACAAUGCUACCGUGACGGGAGGAGCUCGCGGGCUAUCAGCUAGUUGGUGCGGUCACGGCGCACCAAGGCAACGACGGCUACGGGGUCUGAGAGGACGACCCCGCACAUUGGAACUGAGACACGGUCCAGACUCCUACGGGAGGCAGCAGUGGGGAAUUUUGGGCAAUGGCCGAAAGGCUGACCCAGCGACGCCGCGUGCGGGAGGACGCCUCGGGUCGGUAA